AAGCCCUUGUACACCCAUGACUCUAAGAACGCCUUUCGGUGUAGCUCUAUCUGGGCCACCAAGUUGUGCUACAGCAUCAACAAAUCGUUCAUGAAGCUCAUUGGUCCAACGCAGACGUUGCUUUGAGGCAAGACUAGAACUGUUGUUGCCUCCACAGGAAGGGUCCAUUGAACCGCCACCACAGUCUAAUGACUGACUAUUGACAGCAGCAUUGUUGUGUGCUAAGCUUGAACUGGGAACGCCUUUGGGCUGAUACAUUUCAUUUAUAGUGAUAGAUAAUUAAGGCAGAUAUUGGAUCUUCGAAUUCUUCACUCUUUCAUUACAAACUGAAUUUUUU
RNAcentral lists this unclassified non-coding RNA (337 nucleotides) under Hevea brasiliensis (rubber tree). The record is from RNAcentral. Lineage: Eukaryota; Viridiplantae; Streptophyta; Magnoliopsida; Malpighiales; Euphorbiaceae.